Molecule: ribosomal RNA, 513 nt
Filed under: uncultured bacterium
Lineage: Bacteria
Description: partial 16S ribosomal RNA
Rfam family: Bacterial small subunit ribosomal RNA
Source: RNAcentral
GACGAACGCUGGCGGCGUGCUUAACACAUGCAAGUCGAACGAGAGCGUAGAGAAAGCUUGCUUUUUCUACAAUCUAGUGGCAAACGGGUGAGUAACGCGUAAACAAACUGCCCUACGGAUGGGGACAACAGCUGGAAACGCCUGCUAAUACCGAAUACGUUCCGAAAGUCGCAUGACUAUCGGAAGAAAGGAUGGCCUCUAUGUAUAAGCUAUCGCCGGAGGAGGGGUUUGCGUCUGAUUAGCUAGUUGGAGGGGUAACGGCCCACCAAGGCGACGAUCAGUAGCCGGUCUGAGAGGAUGAACGGCCACAUUGGAACUGAGACACGGUCCAGACUCCUACGGGAGACAGCAGUGGGGAAUCUUCCGCAAUGGGCGAAAGCCUGACGGAGCAACGCCGCGUGAGUGAAGACGGCCUUCGGGUUGUAAAGCUCUGUUAUACGGGACGAAUAAUCUUGUGGUUAAUACCCAUGGGAAGUGACGGUACCGUAAGAGAAAGCCACGGCUAACUACGUG